UUGAACGCUGGCGGCAGGCCUAACACAUGCAAGUCGAGCGGUUGGGAGUAGCUUGCUACUUGAUGCAGCGGCGGACGGGUGAGUAACGCGUGGGAAUCUGCCCAGUAGUGGGGGACAACAGCCGGAAACGGCUGCUAAUACCGCAUACGCCCUACGGGGGAAAGGGGGGGAUCUUCGGACCUCUCGCUAUUGGAUGAGCCCGCGUCGGAUUAGCUAGUUGGUAGGGUAAAGGCCUACCAAGGCUACGAUCCGUAACUGGUCUGAGAGGAUGAUCAGUCACACUGGAACUGAGACACGGUCCAGACUCCUACGGGAGGCAGCAGUGGGGAAUAUUGGACAAUGGGGGAAACCCUGAUCCAGCCAUGCCGCGUGUGUGAAGAAGGCCUUAGGGUUGUAAAGCACUUUCAGUGGGGAGAAAGGUUUGUCACCUAAUACGUGAUGAAAUUGAUGUUACCCACAGAAGAAGCACCGGCUAACUCCGUGCCAGCCGCCGCAGUAA
This 499-nucleotide ribosomal RNA is filed under the name uncultured bacterium. RNAcentral describes it as "partial 16S ribosomal RNA". It matches the Rfam family "Bacterial small subunit ribosomal RNA", at positions 30 to 523 of the family's 1533-position model. The record is from RNAcentral.